This is a long non-coding RNA of Lemur catta (Ring-tailed lemur), 815 nucleotides long. RefSeq lists it as uncharacterized. Lineage: Eukaryota; Metazoa; Chordata; Mammalia; Primates; Lemuridae. The record is from RefSeq and is a predicted model, not a curated record. The transcript is spliced from 3 exons.
UGCGUCUGGGGAGACGAUGCCACUUCCGGUGGCAUCUGGGGCAAAUGGCACGAGUCAGCAUUUACUUUCUCGCUUUAGAAAGCGGAAGAAUAAUGAUCGAAGCUUCAAGACCUUGACGUUAUAUGAAAACGUGAGGUGCAAUUCAAAACCUCGGCUCAUAUUACCCUCCCACUGGUGCCGGGUGUUCACGGCUGAAAAGGUGUUUGGAAGGCGGAAAAGGAGGAAGUGGGAAGAGAGAAACGGGGAAACGGUGAGAGGAGAGGAAGAUCGCUGCCUUUUCUAACUCAUACUCAAUAGCAGUAAUCCUGAACUUCCGUGUGGCCUGUUACAGUUGGCGAACCGCUUUCCAGUCCUCUCCCUUGGUCUUCCCACCAACCUCUUGGUGGCAACAGCCCAGUCCACGUCUGCGUGGAGAACGGCAGGCCGGGCUGCACCUCCACUAGACCUGUCAGCUUCCUCCUCCAGUGUCCUCUGGAAGCCUGCAGGUUCCCACCUGGAAUAAACCUAACAGUUACCUAUAUGGAGACCUCCCAAACCUCAGUACUGAUUAGUGCUACGGUGACUGCAUGUCUGUUGAUGGUGUGGACUGAAGCUAAAGCUGUGACGCCGUGAAAUAAGCGAACCAUUAGAUCCUCUGGCUUCAGGGCCUUCAGGCUCGGGUUUAAAACCUGAUUCAGUCACUUAUGACUGUGGGACCUUGGCCAUCACUUAACUACUCUGUGACUCAAUUUUCUCCUUUGGAAAAUGGUGAUAAUAAUAACCACUAUAUAGAUGCCAAGAUUACAUGAGAAAAUACACCUAGAGUACCGGGCACA